Molecule: unclassified non-coding RNA, 303 nt
Filed under: plant metagenome
Description: partial contains 5.8S ribosomal RNA, internal transcribed spacer 2, and large subunit ribosomal RNA
Rfam family: 5.8S ribosomal RNA (bases 1-105)
Source: RNAcentral
GAAAUGCGAUAAGUAAUGUGAAUUGCAGAAUUCAAUGAAUCAUCGAAUCUUUGAACGCACAUUGCGCCCGCCAGUAUUCUGGCGGGCAUGCCUGUUCGAGCGUCAUUUCAACCAUCAAGCCCCGGGCUUGUGUUGGGGACCUGCGGCUGCCGCAGGCCCUGAAAAGCAGUGGCGGGCUCGCUGUCACACCGAGCGUAGUAGCAUACAUCUCGCUCUGGGCGUGCUGCGGGUUCCGGCCUUUAAACCACCUUCGUAACCCAAGGUUGACCUCGGAUCAGGUAGGAAGACCCGCUGAACUUAAGC